This 76-nucleotide transfer RNA is filed under the name Petrotoga halophila DSM 16923. Its description in RNAcentral is "tRNA-Lys". It matches the Rfam family "tRNA". From Rfam's summary of the family: Transfer RNA (tRNA) molecules are approximately 80 nucleotides in length. Their secondary structure includes four short double-helical elements and three loops (D, anti-codon, and T loops). RNAcentral also lists the same sequence under 3 other names. Lineage: Bacteria; Thermotogati; Thermotogota; Thermotogae; Petrotogales; Petrotogaceae. The record is from RNAcentral.
GGGCCAUUAGCUCAGCUGGUAGAGCGACUGACUCUUAAUCAGUAGGUCGUGGGUUCGAUCCCCGCAUGGCCCACCA